This 1508-nucleotide ribosomal RNA is filed under the name uncultured bacterium. RNAcentral's name for it is "bacterial SSU rRNA". It matches the Rfam family "Bacterial small subunit ribosomal RNA". The record is from RNAcentral.
AGAGUUUGAUCGUGGCUCAGAUUGAACGCUGGCGGCAUGCUUUACACAUGCAAGUCGAACGGCAGCACGGGGGCAACCCUGGUGGCGAGUGGCGAACGGGUGAGUAAUACAUCGGAACGUGUCCUGUGAUGGGGGAUAACCUGGCGAAAGCCAGGCUAAUACCGCAUGAGCUCGAGAGAGGAAAGCGGGGGACCUGAAAGGGCCUCGCGUCGAAGGAGCGGCCGAUGUCCGAUUAGCUAGUUGGUGGGGUAAAGGCCCACCAAGGCGACGAUCGGUAGCUGGUCUGAGAGGAUGAUCAGCCACACUGGGACUGAGACACGGCCCAGACUCCUACGGGAGGCAGCAGUGGGGAAUUUUGGACAAUGGGGGCAACCCUGAUCCAGCCAUGCCGCGUGAGUGAAGAAGGCCUUCGGGUUGUAAAGCUCUUUCGGUGGGAACGAAACGGGCACGGCUAAUACCCGUGUUCAAUGACGGUACUCACAGAAGAAGCACCGGCUAACUACGUGCCAGCAGCCGCGGUAAUACGUAGGGUGCGAGCGUUAAUCGGAAUUACUGGGCGUAAAGCGUGCGUAGGGCGGUUGCACCAAGCUCGAUGUGAAAGCCCCGGGCUUAACCUGGGAAUGGCAUUUGAGGACUGUGCGGCUUGAGUGCGGCAGAGGGAGGUGGAAUUCCGCGUGUAGCAGUGAAAUGCGUAGAGAUGUGGAGGAACACCGAUGGGCGAAGGCAGCCUCCUGGGCCGACACUGACGCUGAGGGCACGAAAGCGUGCGGAGCAAACAGGAUUAGAUACCCUGGUAGUCCACGCCCUAAACGAUGUCAACUGGUUGUUGGGGAAGGCAACUUCCUUAGUAACGAAGCUAACGCGUGAAGUUGACCGCCUGGGGAGUACGGCCGCAAGGUUAAAACUCAAAGGAAUUGACGGGGACCCGCACAAGCGGUGGAUGAUGUGGAUUAAUUCGAUGCAACGCGAAGAACCUUACCUACCCUUGACAUGUACCGAAGCCUGCUGAGAGGCAGGUGUGCCCGAAAGGGAGCGGUAACACAGGUGCUGCAUGGCUGUCGUCAGCUCGUGUCGUGAGAUGUUGGGUUAAGUCCCGCAACGAGCGCAACCCUUGCCAUUAGUUGCUACGGAAACGGGCACUCUAGUGGGACUGCCGGUGACAAACCGGAGGAAGGUGGGGAUGACGUCAAGUCCUCAUGGCCCUUAUGGGUAGGGCUUCACACGUCAUACGAUGGCGCAUACAGAGGGUAGCCAACCCGCGAGGGGGAGCCGAUCUCAGAAAGUGCGUCGUAGUCCGGAUUGCAGUCUGCAACUCGACUGCAUGAAGUCGGAAUCGCUAGUAAUCGCGGAUCAGCAAUGUCGCGGUGAAUACGUUCCCGGGUCUUGUACACACCGCCCGUCACACCAUGGGAGUGGGUUUCACCAGAAGCAGGUAGCUUAACCCGCGAGGGGGAGCGCCUACCACGGUGAGAUUCAUGACUGGGGUGAAGUCGUAACAAGGUACCCGU